RNAcentral lists this long non-coding RNA (230 nucleotides) under Lathyrus oleraceus (garden pea). RNAcentral's name for it is "Pisum sativum (pea) long non-coding RNA (PSAT_LNC024550)". Lineage: Eukaryota; Viridiplantae; Streptophyta; Magnoliopsida; Fabales; Fabaceae. The record is from RNAcentral.
ACCACUAGCGGCGCUUUUCUUCUGUUUUUCUCCUUUUUUUUUUCUCUCUUUCAAUUCAAAAUAAAACAAAUAAAAAAAAGUGAUAGUUUUGCUUCAAAAAAGACCCCUUCUCACACAUUCAUUAGAUUAUGAUGGUUCUAGUGUUAACUUCAUAUACCUCUUAAACUCUUUCAUUCUAUGAGUAACUACCAUAGAACUCUCUUUCUUUUUCACUUCCGAUUACUACUUUG